AACGAAGUAGAAAUGUCAAAUUGUCAAAGUGCACAAAUGAAGCAAACAAAAAUAUAAAAUAAUAACAAAAACAUCAGUGCAGAAAUUGUUAGAUAGCAAUUACCAUAACCUACAAAAGUUGAAAAUGUCUGAAGAAACAAAUUCAAACACAAUAAUCAAAAUUGAACCGAUCGAAUAUCCUCAAGUUAAACCAGAAC
This is a long non-coding RNA of Ctenocephalides felis (cat flea), 197 nucleotides long. RefSeq lists it as uncharacterized. The transcript has 2 exons. NCBI's taxonomy places the organism in Eukaryota, Metazoa, Arthropoda, Insecta, Siphonaptera, Pulicidae. The record is from RefSeq and is a predicted model, not a curated record.